UACGGAGGGGGCGAGCGUUAUUCGGAAUUAUUGGGCGUAAAGGGCGCGUAGGCGGAUAUUUAAGUCAGGGGUGAAAUCCCAGAGCUCAACUCUGGAACUGCCUUUGAUACUGGGUAUCUCGAGUAUGGAAGAGGUGAGUGGAAUUCCGAGUGUAGAGGUGAAAUUCGUAGAUAUUCGGAGGAACACCAGUGGCGAAGGCGGCUCACUGGUCCAUUACUGACGCUGAGGUGCGAAAGCGUGGGGAGCAAACAGG
RNAcentral lists this ribosomal RNA (253 nucleotides) under uncultured bacterium. RNAcentral's name for it is "partial 16S ribosomal RNA". It matches the Rfam family "Bacterial small subunit ribosomal RNA", at positions 524 to 776 of the family's 1533-position model. The record is from RNAcentral.